UUGACUUACCAUGUUGGAGAUAGUUCCAGGGACUUCUAUUAGGCCUAUCCCAUCAUAAUCACCUUCCCUCCACGGGUCUGGUUGCCAAUAUGGUGAUUUUGCCAGGUAGUAAAUAUCUCUCUUUCCUUUUGGAACUAAGGAAAUUACCUUAAAAUGGGUCUGUGGUCUCAUUGGACCCACCAUUAAAUGGACUUGGACCAGAGCUCCAUCUAUCAUUAGCCAUAGUAAGCUCCAACUCUCAUAAUAAGGUGGACUGCAUUGGCAUUUGGGUCUCAGAGCCAGUGUCUGAUGACUCCUGAUGGUCUGGGUAUUUCCCUUUCCCCAGUGCACUGUCACUCCAGGAAAUAGGUUCCUCGGGAAAAGCUUGGUGGAAGAGCCACACUACAUACCUGCUACAUCAGAGAAUAGUUCCUCAAAGGACCCUGAGAUCGCCUUGAAAAAGUCUCCAGGCGUGUGACCUGAUUAGGUCUGGGAACUGGGUAUACAUCCUGAGUGAGUCUCAGCUGGGCUCAGAGAGGAGCGGGACUGGUAUUUUCACCGUGGGCAGCAACACAGUGGAAGCCCCCAUGUGCCUAUCACUAGGAGCCAUGAUGUAAUGCUGGGGCAGCUACACGCUGGAAUGAUGCUUGUUGAGAGUGAGGCACAUCCCUGUCACAUGUCCAAGAUACACGGCCACAGGGAAGGAACCUGGUCCCCCAGCACGAAGUGGAGCUGGCUGAGAGGGAGGGCGCAGGGCCACACCCUCCAGUGAAGCUCCUCCCCCCAGGCCUCCUCCUGCUGCCGCUGCUACUCACAUGGCAGAAGAUCAUGGCUUGAGCAAUGGUGAUGGCCCCGUAGAUAUUACACAAGGCCUGGAACUUCUCAUCUCUGCUAUUGCACAGGACGUAAUACUGCUUGA
This is a non-coding RNA of Delphinapterus leucas (beluga whale), 898 nucleotides long. The record is from RefSeq and is a predicted model, not a curated record. Lineage: Eukaryota; Metazoa; Chordata; Mammalia; Artiodactyla; Monodontidae.